RNAcentral lists this ribosomal RNA (253 nucleotides) under uncultured bacterium. RNAcentral's name for it is "partial 16S ribosomal RNA". It matches the Rfam family "Bacterial small subunit ribosomal RNA", at positions 524 to 776 of the family's 1533-position model. The record is from RNAcentral.
UACGUAGGGUGCAAGCGUUAAUCGGAAUUACUGGGCGUAAAGCGUGCGCAGGCGGUUAUGUAAGACAGGUGUGAAAUCCCCGGGCUUAACUUGGGAACUGCAUUUGUGACUGCAUAGCUAGAGUACGGUAGAGGGGGAUGGAAUUCCGCGUGUAGCAGUGAAAUGCGUAGAUAUGCGGAGGAACACCGAUGGCGAAGGCAAUCCCCUGGACCUGUACUGACGCUCAUGCACGAAAGCGUGGGGGGCAAACAGG